CUCGUAGGCGGCCAACUAAGUCAGACGUGAAAUCCCUCGGCUUAACCGGGGAACUGCGUCUGAUACUGGUUGGCUUGAAUCCGGGAGAGGGAUGUGGAAUUCCAGGUGUAGCGGUGAAAUGCGUAGAUAUCUGGAGGAACACCGGUGGCGAAGGCGGCAUCCUGGACCGGAAUUGACGCUGAGGAGCGAAAGCCAGGGGAGCAAACG
Molecule: ribosomal RNA, 207 nt
Filed under: uncultured bacterium
Lineage: Bacteria
Description: partial 16S ribosomal RNA
Rfam family: Bacterial small subunit ribosomal RNA
Source: RNAcentral